This 497-nucleotide ribosomal RNA is filed under the name uncultured bacterium. RNAcentral describes it as "partial 16S ribosomal RNA". It matches the Rfam family "Bacterial small subunit ribosomal RNA", at positions 28 to 507 of the family's 1533-position model. The record is from RNAcentral.
GAUGAACGCUGGCGGCGUGCCUAAUACAUGCAAGUCGAGCGAACAGACGAGGAGCUUGCUCCUCUGACGUUAGCGGCGGACGGGUGAGUAACACGUGGAUAACCUACCUAUAAGACUGGGAUAACUUCGGGAAACCGGAGCUAAUACCGGAUAAAAUAUUGAACCGCAUGGUUCAAUAGUGAAAGACGGUUUUGCUGUCACUUAUAGAUGGAUCCGCGCCGCAUUAGCUAGUUGGUAAGGUAACGGCUUACCAAGGCAACGAUGCGUAGCCGACCUGAGAGGGUGACCGCCCACCCUGGAACUGAGACACGGUCCAGCCUCCUACGGGAGGCAGCAGUAGGGAAUCUUCCGCAAUGGGCGAAAGCCUGACGGAGCAACGCCGCGUGAGUGAUGAAGGUCUUCGGAUCGUAAACCUCUGUUAUUAGGGAAGAACAAAUGUGUAAGUAACUAUGCACGUCUUGACGGUACCUAAUCAGAAAGCCACGGCUAACUACGUG